This 450-nucleotide ribosomal RNA is filed under the name uncultured Ambispora. Its description in RNAcentral is "SSU rRNA". It matches the Rfam family "Eukaryotic small subunit ribosomal RNA", at positions 569 to 1021 of the family's 1831-position model. The record is from RNAcentral. Lineage: Eukaryota; Fungi; Glomeromycota; Glomeromycetes; Archaeosporales; Ambisporaceae.
AGCAGCCGCGGUAAUUCCAGCUCCAAUAGCGUAUAUUAAAGUUGUUGCAGUUAAAAAGCUCGUAGUUGAAUUUUGGGUCUGGCCGGGCGGUCCGCCCUCUGGGUGAGCACUGUUCCGACGCCGGGCCUAUCCUUCUGGUGAGUCGGCAUGUCCUUUGUUGGGUGUGUCGGGGAACCAGGACCAUUACCUUGAAAAAUUAGAGUGUUCAAAGCAGGCGUAUGCUCGGAUACAUUAGCAUGGAAUAAUGAAAUAGGACGCGUGGUGCUAUUUUGUUGGUUUCUAGAACCGCCGUAAUGAUUAAUAGGGAUAGUUGGGGGCAUUAGUAUUCAAUUGUCAGAGGUGAAAUUCUUGGAUUUAUUGAAGACUAACUUCUGCGAAAGCAUUUGCCAAGGAUGUUUUCAUUAAUCAAGAACGAAAGUUAGGGGAUCGAAGACGAUCAGAUACCGUCGU